UGCAUUGCAGGUAUAUAUCAAGGACAAUGGACAGGAGGCAUGCGACAUGGCUACGGGAUCAGAAACAGUGUUCCAUAUGGCAUGGCUUCUAUCGUUAGACCAUCACUACGGACAUCCCUCACAUCGUUACGCAGCGAACAUGAAAAUGGUUCCAUCGCGAGCUCGCCAGAAAACUUUGGACAGCGGGGAGGGUUUGCAAUGGACGUUUCCGACGACUGUACCUCCGACUUGGAAAGCACCAAGAGUGCCACACUUAAGCGGAAUGAGACCUCGCGGAGGAGUAGGACACUCAUGGGUGGGUUUAGGAGCAAACGUAGGAAAGACAGGAACAGAGAUUCUUUGGUAGAAAGCGGGGGCAGUGUCGCUUCUCUGAGACACAACCUUAAACAUCAAGACUCACUAAAGAGUAACGAAAGUACUAUGAGCACAAGUUCAGUGCAAUCAUCAUGUUUUGAGAGUGAUAUGGGACACAUGCACGAAGAAGAGGCUUCUCACGAUGUGACUGAGGUCUACAUGGGUGAAUGGAAGCAGGACAAAAGGGCGGGGUAUGGUACAAGCCAAAGAUCAGAUGGCUACCAUUAUGCCGGGGAGUGGCAUAACAAUAAGAGACAUGGCUACGGGUCAUUGACAUACCCUAAUGGCCAGAAGGAGGAAGGCAAAUGGAAACAGAAUAUGUUAGUUGCAUCAGGAAAAAAGAAACUCUUUGUUAUUGGAUCAAAAAAGAUAAGUGACCGGGUAGAGCAUGCUGUGGAUUUGGCAGGACAGGCUGCUAAUCUUGCACGAGCUAAGGCUGACCUGGCAAUAUCUAGGGCUGCGUAUGCAAAGGAGAAAGCUGAGAUGUCUGAUGUGGAAGCCUCAGAAGCCAGAGAAGAAUCAAUCAAGGCUAGAGCUAGAGCUAAAGAUCUUGCUUCAACAUUACCACCAAGAGCAGGAGAAGGUGGCGACAUCAAGCUAGACAGGAAAAAGAGCUUCUUUGGUCGUCACUUAGGGGGCUUUGAUCGUAAGAACAGAAUGAGAGGAACCAUCGUGAAAUCCAGAUCAGGAAGCAGGUCAGAACGUGGUGAGGGCUCCCAUCCAUCUUCUCAAUCAAGUGACCGGUCUAUUCCAAGUGGAUUGUCCAAUGAAUGGGACGGCCGUGGAGCCAGUCCACAGAGUGACAGUCAAAUGAGAGAGGCUCGGUCGACGGGAAACCUUUGUGAUGGUAGUCCAGUUCCUAGGAGACAUCUCAGAACCUUGGACAGGAUGGGCAAUUCUCAACAGAGCAACCCGUCGGACUCCAGUCCUCAAAUGGAUAGGAGGAUGUUGACUAUGAGAGAGUAUCAUCAGAGGGAGUAUCAUAGCAUGGAUGAGAGAUACGGUCCUGAUGGUAGAGAAUACCACAUGGAUAGGAACAGGCAUUAUAGUGAUAGGUCCUUGGCGGAUCUUACUCCUGAUUCAGGGAUCAGUACAACAUCAGAUUCUGACCGCUUGAGGAGGGAAGCCAUGAGAUCGAAUCAGAGGAAAGGACCACCUAGGAGACAACUCACCCGACAGGAGGGCCUGGAUGAUGCGUAUCACAGUAGUCAUGGUAACAAUCGUGAUCGAUACGAUGCCCAUUAUAACGACUAUGGAGAUGAAUAUUACGAAGAUGAAUCGAUAUAUGACAAGGAGGAGGAGGACCCAUACCUUGAUGAUCACAUGGUUGAUGAUGAUGAUCAAGAGAAAUUAAAGCAACAGCAGUUAAAACAGAAGAAGAAGAUCAAGAUCACUGAACUAGCUACCAAGGUAGAUGCAGCCCCUCCUGGACAUUACCGGACCUUCCAAGGAAGGUUUCCAGCAACAUGUGGUAUCAAGUAUCAACCUAAGCCAGAGGGAGAAGAGGAUGAUGUUAGAGACCCAGAGCUAGAUGGAGAGGGGGCACUUGUUGUACAUUCUGCUAAAAUGAACUGGGCUGCAAGCAAAGGUCUGACCGUUCUAGUCCUGGUGCUUAACGUGGGUUUUACAGUCCUAUUCACAAGUCUCUUCUUACAGAUGGAAGAAGAAGGGAACUGGGAUAGCUGGCCCUAGUCCUGUCCCAACUACUGGUCCUCAAAACAUGUACAUACCGUUUCUUGCUUCAAGUUUGACUGUGACGUGACAGCAAGCAUGGCCUUAAUUUUGUUUAUGAAUUGGAAGCCGUGAUUAAGUUGCAGCAAACGUCUUUGGCCUUGAGUUGUAGUCUCAUUCACCUUGCAUGACCUGUAUAUACACAAACUUUGUUUCUAAGGGAGCACCUGACUAGAUGAUAAAGGAGCUGGGCUCCUAGCUGGUUCCACAAUGGAAACAUUACUCUACUUGGAGAUAGAAUUAUAGCCUACUCUACUAGAAAGUUGGAAAUACAUAGAAGCAGGAAUCCUUAUAACUACAAGAAAACAAGUAUCAGAGGGGGUUGGUGUUGCAUGCCGCAACUAAUAUUUAUUUAAACCUGGUCUGCCAGCAAGGGCCUUAUCUUCUUAGUCCUGGUCCUGAACGUAGGCUUUACAGUCCUCUUCACUAGCCUCUUCCUACAGAUAGAAGAAGAAGGAGAAUGGGAAAACUGGCCCUGACAUUCACAAGACCAUCUUCAACGAUUGAUUACCAAACUGGUCGCACCAUCAGUCAUCCUGAUACCCAUGAUGUUGUAAGAGAGAGAGAGAGAGGAUUGAAGGGUCUAGGCAAGAGAGAGGGAGAACUCUUCCUCAUGAUGAUAAAAAUAAGUGACAAAGCACAAGGGUGAAAAUAAUUGACGUUUGAAAUUUAGCUUAGUAAACCGAUGAAGUCAGGAAUACGAUAUCAGAUCAGGAGCUCUCUCUUCACAAAAUACAUCAGCCUUGAUUUCACAUUCAUUUAUUAAUUUCAGCCUUUUUAUUACUAUCUAUGAAUCAUAUGAAACAUGGAGUGCAUUAUAGAAUUGCUUUUUGUAGUAGAGUAUUCAUGAAUUUAACAAGUAGAAGGAGAAAAUUAACAUAUAAAAAAGAUAUAAGACGUUUCAAGGCAGCUUGAAAGUUUGGGACAAAUAAUUGACCAGAUAUUUGACUCCGAAAUAGUUUGUGUUAGGUAAGAAAACCUGAGACUACUGCUUGAAAAUGAGAGACUCUCCUUGUUUCUGAUUGGCUGGCUAAAGUAGAGAAGAUAGCCAUGACAACUUAUAUAUUUCUUUCACUUUGAUUGUGCUUUGUGGAUAAGUGGAAAGAUAAUUCAUUUGUUGCAAAGUACAAAGGGCAGGAUCAUUCCAUUUUCUCAAAAGAAAUUUGAUAAAGAAUUAUUGGCCUGUCGAAAAUAGGAUUACCUAAUAAUAGUACUGAAUGUUUUUUUUCCUAUACAUAAAUGAAUAAUGUGCUAUUCUAAAUUUCUUGGCAAAUCAUUAUUUUUUUUUUCAGAAUGGUGAAUAGUAACUUUUAAGGAUGGGGGGAAAAAGCAGCACAUAAAUUCCCAUUAUGAGGCACCUUUAGCAUUCUUUGAAAUGGAUAUAUGUGCAUUAAUACUGUUGCUAUUAUCAUCAUUCGUAUCACUAUUGUUGUCACUAUUAUUAAAAGUAGUCUCAAAUUGAAUCUUUAUUACUGGAUCAUAAAAAUUGCAGUUAUUUGUUCCUUUUCAACAAGAUACCAAGUAUCCAUUUUAUUCCUGAAGGAUGUGACCACCCUUAAGCUGCUACAGAAAAAAAAAGAGUAAGAACUUUUAGGUAAAACAGUUCUACUUCAUCAGGGUCCUGUUGCUAUUAUAGUAACUUUGCCAUGCAAUUGUAACUAUCAUGCUUGUGGGCGUGUCGUGGUCUAGUUCUGACUCUCGCCUUUCAAACAGAGGGUCGUUGGUUUGAAUCCUAAUCAUGGCGUGUUUUCCUUCAGCAAGAA
This 3848-nucleotide unclassified non-coding RNA is filed under the name Lytechinus variegatus (green sea urchin). RNAcentral's name for it is "junctophilin-1-like, transcript variant X2". Lineage: Eukaryota; Metazoa; Echinodermata; Echinoidea; Temnopleuroida; Toxopneustidae. The record is from RNAcentral.